This 677-nucleotide small RNA is filed under the name Lichtheimia corymbifera. Its description in RNAcentral is "eukaryotic LSU rRNA". The stretch from base 232 to 385 matches the Rfam family "5.8S ribosomal RNA". The record is from RNAcentral. Lineage: Eukaryota; Fungi; Mucoromycota; Mucoromycetes; Mucorales; Lichtheimiaceae.
ACUUGGGUUGAGUUUCUUUACUCUUCUCUUGAGUUUCCUCACGGUUUUGUGCAAUGUUGGGUCACCUUGGUUGACUCUGCCCUAAGUUAUUGGGCUGGCCUUUGGGGCCCCUAGUAUGAUUUAUCAUACUAACCCCACAGGUUAAUUUCUACUAUGUCUAUGAAUUGAUGUAUGAAAAAAGUUAUUUGUUAACUUGAAGGCUUUUGCUGUUAAAAGUGAGUCUUUAAAAACAACUCUUGGCAAUGGAUCUCUUGGUUCUCGCAUCGAUGAAGAGCGUAGCAAAGUGCGAUAAUUAUUGCGACUUGCAUUCAUAGUGAAUCAUCGAGUUCUUGAACGCAUCUUGCGCCUACUAGUCAAUCUACUAGGCACAGUUGUUUCAGUAUCUGCAUCCACCAAUCAACACGACUUGCUUGUGUUGGAACUGGGCUUACUUUUGAUGGCAUUUAGUUGCUGUCAUGGCCUUAUAUGUAUUUAGUCCUAGGUGUUAACUUGUUAAUGCCGGAUGGAGACUCUAGAGUGCCUUAGAAGCAGCUUGGUUAGUGAGUUCAUAAUUCCAAGUGUUAGUCUUUUAUUGAACUGGGUUUCUAGUCUAUGGGACAUGGAGUCGUAAGACUCUUAAACAACAAACUCACAUUUAGAUCUGAAAUCAACUGAGACCACCCGCUGAACUUAAGCAU